Molecule: long non-coding RNA, 35947 nt
Filed under: Eucalyptus grandis
Lineage: Eukaryota; Viridiplantae; Streptophyta; Magnoliopsida; Myrtales; Myrtaceae
Description: long non-coding RNA (EGRA_LNC000945)
Source: RNAcentral
GAGCGAGAGGACGUGGAGGUUUUUCAGGUGCCAAUGAUGAGCGUGAGAGCACACUUAACCAGUUGCUCGUAGAAAUGGACGGCUUUGGUACCACCUCAGGGAUAGUUGUGCUUGCUGGCACUAAUAGGCCCGACAUCUUGGACAAAGCCUUGUUGAGGCCUGGUCGAUUCGAUAGGCAAAUCUCCAUUGAUAAACCUGAUAUCAAAGGCCGUGAACAAAUAUUCCAGAUAUACCUGAAAAAGAUUAAGCUUGAUCAUGAACCUUUGUAUUAUUCACAAAGGCUUGCAGCCCUUACACCUGGAUUUGCUGGAGCGGACAUAGCCAAUGUUUGUAAUGAAGCUGCUCUCAUUGCUGCCAGGAAUGAGUCAACUGUGGUCACCAUGGAACAUUUUGAGGCAGCUAUAGAUAGGAUUAUAGGUGGUUUGGAGAAGAAGAACAGGGUAACGUAGCUUCUCUCUCUUCCACUCCAUCAUGCUGGUUAUUGGUCUCUUCUUUUUUUUUCUAUUUCAGCGACACUGUUCUCUUGCACACAUGUUCUUUGUUUCUAGGAUCCUCUCUCCCAACGACCCAACUAAGAAUUCCAUAUUGUCUUUGGCUGGCUUGCUGUGCUGACUGCUUAUUGAAUGGAAACCAUCAUAGCUUUUUUUCUGUGAUGAUUGAGAUGGGUGUGUUAGUAGGUUGUUCCAACUGAUGCUUUUUGGUCGUAGCAUUUUCGUAUUCUUUUUACUCAUCUUCUCAUGUGGUCAUUGGUUGAAAGUAAAGCUAGAAAAUUAUUUUGAUGAGUGUCACCAAACAGCGAGCUUGCGCUUCAGUUAUUGAUGCUUGUCUUUACUGUUCACAGUCUUGCCAUUUAGUAUCACAAACAGUGAGAACGUCUUUCUCUUGGCAAAUUCUUUGAUCCUUGAUCUUGUGGGUUUUGUUGCUUUUGGCAUGGAUUGAUGUGAAUAUGAUUUCAAAUAUUGACUUUGUGAUUUGGACAUGUAUAAAAGGAGAUAAAUCAAUCUAAACUUUUGUUUUGGAGCAGGUAAUAAGCAAACUAGAGCGUCGCACAGUUGCAUAUCAUGAGUCAGGUCAUGCUGUGGCUGGUUGGUUCUUGGAGCAUACGGAGCCUUUACUGAAAGUGACAAUAGUCCCUCGCGGCACUGCUGCUCUAGGAUUUGCCCAAUAUGUGCCUAAUGAGAAUCUUCUCAUGACCAAGGAACAGCUUUUUGACAUGACAUGUAUGACCCUUGGCGGACGAGCAGCUGAACAGGUGAUUUAUGGGACUUCAUAUUUGUCCUUCACUUUAUGGAUAGCAGAAAUGCAUUAAAUUUUUUUCUUUCCAUCUUUGCCCGUUGAAUUGAAGAAGAUCAACGAGGCAAAUAUGUUCUUGUAAGGUUCUAAGUUUUAAACCUCGAUGUUGUUGAGUUGAAUAUUCAUGUAAUUUGCAGGUUUUGUUGGGUAAAAUAUCAACGGGAGCUCAAAAUGACUUGGAGAAGGUGACGAAAAUGACCUAUGCCCAGGUAGCAAUAUAUGGCUUCAGCGACAAGGUGGGACUCCUGUCCUUUCCUCAGAGAGAAGAUGGAUUUGAGAUGACCAAGCCCUACAGCAGCAAGACUGCAGCACUUAUUGAUGGGGAGGUGCGUGAGGUGGUAAACAAGGCAUAUGAGCGUACAUUGGAGCUAAUAACGGAGCACAAAGAGCAUGUUGCUCAGAUUGCUGAGCUGUUGCUUGAAAAGGAAGUUCUUCAUCAGGAAGAUUUGCUUCGUGUUUUAGGCGAGCGACCAUUUAAAUCGAGUGAAAUGACCAACUAUGACAGAUAUAAGCUAGGGUUUGAAGAGGAAGAGAAGAGUACAGAGACUCCAGAGACUGGUGCAGUGGAGGAUGACGAAUCGCCUCCUCCUUUGGAUCCACAGGUAGUCCCAACUUAGUUCUCAGGAAUUCUAGCUGAGACUAUUUUUGUAAAUGAUUUGGAUCGUUUCCCCGGAGUCUUUUCUGGAGCAAAAAGAGAAAACAAGAGAACUGCACUGAAUAGGAAAAAAUCUCUCUGCCACACCACACAAUUGCAGAUUGGGUAUUAUACUCUUAUCACCAAUUCCUACGCCAUUCCACAGCUCAACGGUUGAUUCAAUCAAGGCUGAAGGGGAUAUCACCCAACUGCGUGAUUGGGAAGCUCAUACCCUAUCACUAGAUUAAAAGCCACUUAUCGGUCAAGGAUCAUGGCCUGAAAAAUAAUACGAGAAAAAGGAGAAAAGGAUAUACGUAUGGAAUAACUUGGUCCUAUGAGAUAUGCCGGAUUCAUAUGAUCUGAUGCAGAGAUGAUUGGACUUGAUUUGUAAGGGUACUGGGGUGGUGUUGCUGUAUGUACUUUAAAAUGUAUAUUUAGAAUAAUCAUGAGGGCACUUUCGAGCACAUUGCUUUUUUCACAGAGCAAAGCAAAUAGAGAUAUCUCUGAGGCAGAUUGGUUUGGAAAGGGUGUGAUUCAGCAAUUACUCUUAGAGGGCGAACUCUGGUUGUUAGUGUCACGCCCUGACCCUCCGAGCGUGUGCCCAUCCUGGCUUGGUCGAUUAAAUAGUGAUGUACGCAUAGCCGAUCUAUUCAUUUUAAUACGCAUGCGGAAGUGAUUAAUUAAUCUCUAGACAGCAAGAAGAUGGGAUAGAUUAGUAAGGCCAUAAUUUUCGUAUCAACACAUUAUUAAAACCACAAAUUGGUUUUGCAAACAGAGGCCAACUCUAGCGUUUAAAUAUAGGAAAUCUUUUGAGCCAUCCAUGGUCCUGACCCUUCUGUUUCAAGCUCCGGGAUUCUUUACCUUAUGGACCUGAAAAUAUUAUUCCACAACGGGGUAAAAUAACGUCUUAGUAAGUUCAACCUCCUUAGACCUGAUUAGAAAGAAAAUACGCCCAAAGGGCUGCCUAAGCACAAACAUGAGUCAGAUGGGCUGUCUAAGCACAAACACGAGUCAGUGGAUUUACCUUAAUUUUAGUUCUUUUCUGCAAGUCAAUACAGUUCAUAUCACAACCAAUCAUUACACAAUUAAUUUAUUCAGCCAAAUUGAAUCAUCGAUCAAUUGACUCAGUUGAUCACAUGUUAUGAAGACCAUUCCCCAGUCAUCUCAAUCCAUUUUAUUUAUGAGUUCAACCAUAAUCUAUGAUUGCUUACUUUAUGCCGAUAAUAGAUAGUAUAACUUACCAAAAGUUGGCCUUAAAUACUAAGAUAAUAUAGACUAGAAGUUGCCAGUCAUACUUUUAUAGUAUGCUGAAAAUUAUACAUGCUUGCUAGAAGCUGCCAGCUAUACUUUUAUAGUAUGCUGAAAAUUGAUCAUUUAAUCAAAUGACCAUUUUUUUAUUCUUCUCGACCAUUUUUUUAUAAAAAUAUCGUGUGUGGAUACACGAUUGACUUUGGCAAAAAAUACAAUAUUUUCACUUUUGAAAAUCCCACUAUUUUCAAUAAUCUAUAAACUCAUUUUUGGCGCUGUAAACUGACGCCCAGUGAUUUUCCAAUUAAUUACAUAAAUUAAAUAAUUUUAGGAAUAAAUUCCCAAAAGCACAAUUCACACACAAUCAACACAAAAUAACAGUCAAAUAAUUAAACAUAUAUUUUUUUUUGUGACCCAGAGAAAUCCCGCAUAGCCGACAACUGAGAGUAAACCCUUGGGGAGACCACGCACCCCGGGUAAGUCGCCAAAUGUCUCCACCUGCCUCCCUGCAACGCAAGUUGCAGGUGCUUCGAACUCCGGCUUCCAGCGUGGAAGUCCUGGAGCCUACCAGCGGAGCCACCCUCGCGGGUGGUCAAAUAAUUAAACAUAUUAUACCAUUGCAAUCAGCAUAAAAUUCUAGUCAUUGAUUAUUCCGGUCUAAUUUUCAAAAAAUAAAAAAAUAAUUAAAUAAUUACGAAAAUUAAUUAAUAAAUGCAAAAAAUGCAUACUUAGGCCCGUAAAGCUUGACAACAUCUAUGGGCGUUAACUCUUUUCCUUCACCGCAUCGAGCGACAAUUUCGUAAUGGGGUUUCGAGAUUCUGCGGCUGCAUUGCUUGAGUACGAACAUUUGAGAGGAGGUAACAGAUGGGUCCUCGCCCUCUUCACCGGUACUAACGAAACAUUUGAGACCUUCGGAAAAAGGAACGAGCUUUGGGAGGAAUUGGCGGUCCGGUCGAGGUGAAAACCGCGCGCGUGUUCGCCGCAGCGCAGGUGUUUGAUGAAAUGCCCGUGAGAGCGCGCUCUCUGCAAGUCGAGCCUCGACCCAACUGGGGCUGUUCUCGAGUGAAGAAGCACCGAAGCGGCCUCCAUGCUUUCUCCUGAGAGGGCAAGGAUUUGCCAGCUUCACGGCAAGCUCAACAUUGAUCCGGCGAAACCAUCGUGCAGGAAGUGGGAAACGUGAGGAUUGCAGGCAACUGAUCAAUCGGCCAGGGAACUCGAGAAGGUAAAUGGGCUUUUGGUUCGUGGGGAUUGUGGAUCGAGCCCUCUCCUUGAGCUGUCCUCAUUUUGGAAAGGGGAAGAGCUACACGAUAAAAGCUUCUUUAUCUUGUCUUGGGCCCAAGGAAGCUCCAUUAUUCUUUGAGAUAACCACUUGAGAUGAAUUUUAUUUUAAAUAAAAGCCUAAAAUAUCUCAUUUCCUCCAAUAGAAGUAUGAAAUAGAUCUUAUUUCAAAUAAAAAUUUAAAAUACUAUUAUUUUCUUAAAUAAAAACGUGAAGUGGCCUCAUUUUCUCAAAAAAGGAGAUGAAGUGAAUCUUGUUUUUAAUUAAAAACUUGAAAUGCCAUUAUUUUCUCAAAUAAAGAUUUUAAAUGGAUGUUAUUUCAAUUAAAAGUCUAAAAUGGUCAUUGAAAUCAAGCCAUUUCUUGAGAUUAACAUUAGGGGUGUGUAACCGGACCAGGUAUAUCUGGUUUUCAGACCGGCCCACCUAGAAAAAAUAGGGUUGGGAAUCGGUUCCCAUUGAAACCGGUUCCCAAAAUUCGGAAUCGGUUUAAAUCGGUUUGGGAAUAGGUUCCGAGUGAUUACCCACCCGGAAACCGGUUCCUGGACCGGUUUUGGAAUUGGUUCCCGAACCGGUUUUGUAAGUAAAUGUCCAAAACUUUUUUUUUUCCCCUUGAUUUCUAUUCUUACCUCCGCAAUCACACGGUGUUUUUUCUCAUGAUUCUCUCAAACACGCAAUGCACUCCUCCUUUGUCAUUCCUUUUCCUCACUUGCUUCCCUCUCUCAUCAGCUCCCUCUCGCCCAAUCUGAUGGAUGGACCCACCGAAUUCUUGUAUAUCACAUGGAUUGACUCGCCUAAUUUCUCUUUUAUAGAAGGAGUUAUGAUUGCAUAAAUGAAUAUAGUAGUUGGGGGAAUAAGACUAAUAUUAGACCCAUGUUUAUUGCUAAUUCUUUGACUUAUGAUUUUAUUUAUUAUAAUUAGCUUUGUGAAUCCUUAAUUUUUUGUUUAGUCAAAAAGUUCAUGUAUUUAUUUAUUACAAGUGCUUAAUGUUUUAAUACAAAUUAGGAAAAUUACGUUAUUUUCUCCUAUAUUAAUCUAAAAUUUGAAGUUGUAUAGGAUAUCGAGAGAUUGCAAAACAGGUUUCAGUGGAAACAUGAUUGAUCCUGAAACCGAAUUAGAAAAAUAGGGUAGGUUAGGUAUAAGGUCUAAUACAAACAGGGUCGGAUAUAGAGUACAAAAAAGAGGAACCGGUUAUAGCAGGGUUAGAUAUAGGGUCUAGGUCUAGACCUUACCUACCGUGAACCCGAUCACCCCUAAUUAAUAUGACAAGUUAAGGGCAUUUUCGUCUUUUUUUUUUUAAAAAAAAAUUUCUUUCCUUUUUAUGCUUUUUUCUAUAAAUGGCUUGACUUCAACGACUAGUUAAGGGCAAUUAUGUCAUUCAAUUUUUAUUUUAUUUUAUUUCCUUUUUAUGUUUUUUCUAUAUAAAAUAUGAACUCAAAAAGAAUAAAAAGCUAAUCGAAGAGAAAAAAAAUAAAAAAAGCCCAAGCCACAUGUGGCGACUGCCCCAUUACCGAUGGGGCGGUGGCCCUAGGUAGGGGAGGGUUGCUAGCCCUCUUAUCUGUAUCUAAUUCUCUUUUUUUAAAAUUUUAAUUGUUAUUUUUUCUUUUUUUAGUUUUUUUCGAAAAAAAAGAAAGAAAAUAAAAUGAUAAAGGACGAAAAUACAUUUGACUAGUCAGUGAGGUCAGAAGCCCUUCUUUGAGAUAAAUGUGAUUAUUUUGGAUCAUUAUUUGGAAUAAAGUCAAUUUCAAAUCCUUUAUUUGAAAUUUUCUUCUAAACUUGGGUUAGUUUUUCUACCAAAGAGAGAAAUGGACAUAUGGUGCUCGCUGGUCGUGGCUUAAGAAGGCAACUGUUUGCAUUUUGUGGGGAUAAGUAGUUUCCAUUAUCUUCCACGUCAUUAGAAAAACCAUGGGUUUGUCUUGCUCCUCAAGCAGGCAAAAAGUUCUCCUUUGCCAGCGCUGACGAUAGCCUAUUACGUGCCUCCUAAACGGGAUCGCAAAAAGACCCGCGACCCAGGAACUCACAAUUGUUUUGCUCUUUUUCAUUCUAUCACGAAGAGGCCUGACAUACAACACAGUGUAAGGAUCUGAUUUCCCAACGAGGUCCUUGUUUGUUAGCUCCUUUGCUUGGUUUCGCUUCCAACAUUCCAACAGGCUUCAACUCUAGGUACUGAACAAGAAAAGGUAUUAACCCUCCUAGCAUAAGGACAAAACAUUGAGAUUUUGCAACCUCGUUUCCAAAGAACCAAUAUACUAUUAACAUGAGGCUAAAAUUACAAUAACAGCUAUACUACGCAAGUUGUAAUCCAGCAUUCCUCUUGAUCAAAUUACUUUCAAGCACUAUCUUCUCCAAGAUCGCAUGUGCAAGCUCCAUACAAGAAGAUACUAUUUGAAGAACUAGAAAUGGUUUGAUCCACAUCUGCAAUAUCAUAGUUAGGACUUUCCCACAUUAGGCCUAAAUAUUUUGAUGUUGAUCCUAGAAUAUAUUCUUCAUUUUUCCAUCUUUUUCCAUCUUUCAUUGAAGCUAAAGAAGAAGGAGGCAGCUCAGAUCCAAUCACCAAUAGCUUGUAAGGGAUGUCCCAACUGCUAUUCUAACCAUUCCUCUCAUAAGGAGAUUAUUGUGUUACCUGCUUUGAAUGCAUUUGUAACGAAGAAAAAUGAGUCAAUGAACCAAACUUGUAGUUCAGUAAAUUUCUUCUACAUCUCAAUUUGCUUCACAUUUACUGGGAUUUCCCAUAUUCACCGCUUUCUUAAUCUGACAAGUCACCGUUUCCUAAGAACCAAUAUAAUAGGUUGGUUGCACCCAUUGGACAGGGUGAAAACUUGGUCUAACAUUGAUAGCACCUGUGUGCUAUGCGGAUAACAUGAAGAAUCUCGAAUGUACUUGCUCUUUAAGUGUGUAUUCUUAAAGCAGAUUUUGGAAACAAGACUCUUACCGCUGAUGUUAAGUGUUUGUGGAGAAAUUGGCGAGUUCUUGUUGGCUAGCUUUGCUGUAAUCCGGUGGCAUGGUAUUUGAGGUUGCAUCUUGUUUUUCUGGGUAGUAUUUUACUGUUGCUACUGGUAGUGUACAUGGGGAAGACUAUUAUGUAAUCCGCCGGCCACCUCCCCCUUUCGGGAGAGAACCUUCAUCUUCCUGUAACCUAGGGGAAGGCAUCGCGGGAAUCUGGGCGGCCUGCCCUUACCCCCCGUAAGGGGGGUUUGUGGCCGGGUCAGGCCAUGGGGCCGGUAUCUUUAUCGAGGCCCGGAUCCUGACCUCUAUCCAGUCAUGGUAUUUGAGUUUGCAUCUUGUUUUUCUGGGUAGUAUUUUGCUGUUGCUACUGGUAGUGUAGAUGGGGAAGACUAUUAUGUCAUGUUGUCAUUCGGUGCGCGGGGUCAUCAGCUUGAAAGUCAACCUGAUGAAUUGUUCUCAAGUUAUCAAGCUUUCCUAUUAUGAUAGAUUGCUCAAAGGGAUCUCCCAUCCUUUACAUCGAGCAGGAACGAAAGUUCCCCUUAGUGAUGGACAGUGCCAAGUAGAAGGGCAGUUGCUCAACAGAUAAAUGUUACUUUAGGGAUAGCAGACUAAUCUUAUCCAAAAGUUCACAAAUACAGGAAGGUUUGGCACCAUGAUCCAGCUGUAUAUGUGGGACAGUAUGCUGCAAUGGACUUGUACGGGAUGUGACCUCCCUUGUUUUUUUUUUUUUUCCACAGGUUGUCCAAUAAAAUGAAGACUUAAUAAAAAAAGAUAGUGUAAAUUUUGUGCUCAAUGAAUAAAAAAAGAUAGUGUAAAAAAAGAAAAAAGAAUGCGGUUCAAACAGUCAACGACACGUGGAAAUUUUAUAUACUCUAUUCAUCUUACCAGUUUCCGAAAACCAUUCUCCAAUGAGCUUAUCCGUUGCUGCAUUGCUUUGAGAGGACUCUCCAUAUUCUCCACCGAGCUACACCAUGGAAAUUGACACCGUGAACAACUGCUGUCUUGUGGACUCAUUCAUACAAAUAGACAAAUAUCCAUUCAUAACACUUUAGGUACUAGUGCAUGUGAAUGUCAGAAUCAAUUACCAGACUAAUCAGAUGCAUUCCCUUGAUCUAACGCGACAUAGAAAAGUCAACAUAAAGCUGGGAUACAUAUUAAUCCAGUUCAUAGAUAGCAGAAGCAAGUAAAGUUAGUUAGCAGCUAUCUCUAAAUGCACCACUUUCAGCGAUAAAAAGAGGAAAAAAAAUAAAGAAAAGCUAUGCGCAGGUAUGACACUUUGCCAAACAGAAUCAUGGAUUGAUGGCACAUGAUACUUGAUGAUUUUUUUAGUUGGAGAGACAAUAUGGAUCACAAUUCUACUAGAGGAAUCACUUGAUGCAUAUAAGAUACUGCCAACAAACCAAUUGAACUAUAUUCACCUUUGAAGAUUGUUAGCCCAGCGAGAUAUAAGAAGCUCCACCACUUUUCCGAUCUGUCCAGCAAAGAGCAAUAGAAGAACAUAAGCAAAAAUCAUCUGUCAUGUAUCCGUCACAUUCUAGUUUCACAUCACAGAUAUCUUUUUGUCCUACUACGUGCAAACUGUCAUUGACCACAUAUUCCAGGAUUCAAGCAGAUAAUUAUGUCCAGGGCACUUCUUUGAAAUUUUGUAUCUUCUUUUGAUCCAUACUCUCCAUAACAACAUGAAAAGCCUAAAUCAUGUUCUCAGCAGAAACUUUUCACACGAAAACCCCAGAAUUGUCAGCAGGUCAUUUUUACCACUCAAACAAUAGUUCUCUAUAUAUCUUGCAGCAAGUUACUCAUGCGGAUUUCUAUCCAGAAACUGACUGGACUUCUAAUCGAAGAAAUCAGCAAUCGAUAUACAAUGACAACAGUAUUUGUAUGUCCAAGUAGGCUACUUUACUUGUCUUACCUCUCUCUGGCCAUCCUCCAACAUAAAACAACUACUUGGCACGAAACCCCUCUCAGACCCUUUCCAUUCUUGACUGUGUGGAGAUCAGCAAAAGAAAGAACAAAAAAAGGCAAGAUAGGAUAAUUUAGCAAGCAGGAGAGCAAAGGGAAUGAUAACAGAUCACUUGCUAGGUAAAAAAAUCUAACAGGGUUCAAUUCCAAUAAGAAGAAAGUCCUGCAACUGGCGUAAUGCGAAAUCGCAUGGCAGAUUCAAGACGACAACAUUUGAUAUAUGUAAUUUUUCACAUUAAAAGUGUGUUUGUUUCACGGAAGACGUAAUGUUUUUAAAAAAUGUUUUCCGGGAAACCAUUUUCUAAGAAAAUGGUUAGUUUUCCUUUGUUUGGUAAUACAUAACUGAAAGUAUUUUCUGAUAUUUGGAUCGCAUUUGAAAAAUGAUUUAACAAUUGACAAUACUGUGCCUCUUACUUCUAAAUUAAUUUAUUGAGUCCAUGUUACUUUAUAAACAGAUUUUUCUUGAUCGGAUUAGUAAAUCUAGAAUUUGAACCUGUAAAAUGAAAAGGAAACCUAAAUUCACAUGUAUUUUUUUUUUCCUGAAAAUGGACAUGAUUUGAGAUCUUUUAUAUAUAACAUUAUAUUAAUUUGUAUUUUUUCAUGAUAUUAAGUAGGAAGUAAAGGAAGCAAAAAGAAAGAAAAAGGGAGAAAGGAGGAAAAAAUCACCAUCUAUCCAUAUAAUCGGCACUAGCAAGCUAAAAUCUCUUUCUUUCCUUUUCUUAUUAUAGAUUUGAAUGUUUCAAAAGGUUGUGCUUCUCUUUAAAUAAGAGGCAAGAAACUUGGAAAAUAAAUAAAAGAAAUACAUCUAAAAAGAAAAUAAAAAAAUCUUAGAAGAAACGGUCCUUUUCCAGCAUAGACAUAAAUCGAUCCCCCAAAUUUGAAGCCCCCGCUGGCGCACGACCAUCCAAAAAUCAAAUCCAUUUUCCGCUCAAAAUUACCAAAAAAAAAAAAACCCACCAAAUAAAAAAUUAAAAAAAUGGGCUGUACACACACCGAACUCCCUCUCUCUCUCUUUCUCUCUCUAGCCCGACGACACCGAUGGCCGACCCGUCCUCCUCGCUGCCCCCUCCUCCGAUCCCUAGCCUCCUCCUCCCGCCAUACUCGCCGCCGCCUCCGCCUCCGCCCCCCGGCCCGGAGCAGCCGCCGCCGCCAUAGCAGCAGCAGCUGCGGAUCCUCUUCUCGUUCCCGAAGCGGCCGGCCCUCCGGGUCACAUCCGAGUACGACAGUGACAGCUCCGUCUUCCUCCAAAAGGUCUCGUGUAAGCUCCUCGACGGCCUCGCCAAGCUCAAGCUCUCCUUCUGCUACGACCGGAAGGGCGAGGUCGCGGAGCUCCGGCUAGCCUUCGUCUCCAAGCACCUCUCCCUCCACUACGACGUCGAAAAAGCGAAAGAACCUAGAAUCGUGUUGAGCAUCGUUGAAGAAGAGCCAGACCUUCAAUGAUGAAGUAGAUCUGGACCUUCAAUGGCAAAGAAGGUGCGCGUCGUUGAAAAAGAGCCGAAGGAGAAAGAUGAGAGCGGUGUACCUCUAAAAUAUUUGGAGAGGAAAAGUGAAAGGUCACGGAGAAAAAAUGAAAAUGGAAAGUGUUUGCACCUUAGCGGGGGAAUUCGUUUUCCUAAAAUAAUAGAUAACAUUUGUGUUGACAGGAAAGUAUUUUUCGUUGAUCAAAUUUUUUUUAGAGAACCAAAUGACUGAAAAUCCAAAAAAUACUUUCUCGUAAAAUAGUUUCAGUGAAACAAACACACCUUGAAGCCGUAGCACAACCCCACAAACAAAUGCUAACAAAAUGCUAUACUUCGACGCAGGCUUCGAUCUGACCGAAAAAAAAGAACUUCAGACUUCACAUCUUCAACUUGAGCUCGAGCAAAUCAUCAAACAAUUAAUCAAGCAUUGAAACAUUUAAGACGGAAAGAGCGAGCCUACAUGUUUUGAUCCAAGCAUGGCCUCUUCGAUCCACUUGGUUCACCCAAAAAAAGUGGAAUCCGAAGCUCUCUUUUGCGUGGACAUAAUUUUUCUUUUCUUUUGUAGAGUUUGACCAGAACUGAGAAAGUGUCGGAAUUUUGGGGGUGUUCACUCGCUGAAAGAAUGUUGCUUGUACAGCUUAAUAAGAACUGAGAAAGUGUCCGGAUUUUGGGAGCGUUCGCUCGAAAGAAUGUUGCAGAGAAAAGAACAAAUCAGUAGACAGUUUAUCCGCGAAAUCAAACUCAAGAGGGCAGAGAGAGAGAGAGAGGGAGAGGUUGCACGCAGGUCGGUUGUUUAUGGUCAUCUCGCCGGUAUCCUCCUGGUUCAUCGGUUGCUCACGGUGAUUUGCCGGUCGGAAAGAGGGAGGGUGGAGAGAGAGAGGGAGUUCAUCGGACAUAGAGAGCGAGGGUAGAGAGAGAUACGUGAAGAAAGAAAGUCAAGACUGAAAUUUUUUUAAAUUAGCGCAUCUUUUUCUCUCCUGAACGGGGGUCCGCAAAGACACGUGUCAUGUUCCCACCGCCUUUUUGUUGGACACGAUCCAGCACCAAACGUACCUAUUAUUUUCUUGAGGAGGGGGCGCACAAAUUUUGAAUCCCCGCCCGCCUAUGUGGAGUCACGUGUCGACUUUUGAAUGGUCUUACCCUUCACUUAUGUGGAGUGUAAGACUCUGCCAAUAUUUUUAUUUCUAAUUCUCAUUUUUUAAAAUUUUAAAAUUUCCUUUUUUUUGCUUUUUUGUUUUUAGAAAAGAAAAUAAAAUGAUAAAUAACAAAAAUACAUUUGACUAGUCAGUGAUGUCAGAAGCCCUUCUCUAAGAUAAAUGUGAUUAUUUUGGAUCAUUAUUCGAAAUAAAGUCAAUUUCAAAUUCUUUAUUUGAAAUUUUCUUCUAAACUUGGAUUAGGUUUUCUACCAAAGAGAGAGAAAUGGACAUAUGGUGCUCGCUGGUCGUGGCUUAAGAAGGCAACUGUUUGCAUUUUGUGGGGAUACGUAGUUUCCAUUAUCUUCCACGUCAUUAGAAAAACCAUGGGUUUGUCUUGCUCCCCAAGCAGGCAAAAAGUUCUCCUUUGCCAGCGCUGACGAUAGCCUAUUACGUGCCCUUUAAACAGGAUCACGAGAGUAGGCCUAUGAGUAAGACAAUCAGCCAUCGACACGUCACUCCACAGCCGUUCAAAAUGAUCACAACCAAAACACCUGCAGCCCAAACGCCCCGCCUCAUUUCUCUCUCUCGAAAAAAUCACUACCAGUCUCCCUGUUCUAUCCCCCCGCCCGUUCAUGGAGUCGUCAAUGUCCAGCUCCAACUCGACGCCAGACCCUAAAUAACUCCUCCGAAGCACCCACCCCCGUCAGCUGCUUUCCGAACUAGAGGCGAUGAUUUUCUCAAGGAUCGGCCGUUCGUUGUCGAGAUCUUCCCGCUCGAGGGUUCGUCGUCGUGCCUCCAUUUCUUCCCCUCUUUUCUUCUUCGUUCUUCCCGAGUCGAUUCGUUUAUUCCUUUUGCGAAUGUAUUAGAUUUUGUCUUCGCGUAUCGAUUGGUUUCGUUGUCCUCCGGUUGUAGAACGCAUUGUGCCGUGGCGGUGUACGAUCGGGCCCGUUGAAGGGCGCGUCAUUGGGAACGUCGCGCCUGGACGGUGCGCUCGGCGGAUUGGAUGGGAAGUUAGGGUUUGUCAGGGAAUACUUAGCUUCUGCCGGGGCUAUCAAGGCGUUCUCUGCUAAAUCUUAUUUAUCCCAUCUAAAUCGCGUUCUUGCUAAUCCCAGAGUCCACAGGUUUUUCUCCAGCGAAGUCCCGAAAAAGAAGAGUAAGUACAUUCUUCGUCGCGUUGAACCGUUCAAUCUCUGCCGAAACAAAGCUGGCGUCUUUCUUUAGCAGUCGCAGUCGAGAAGUUUUUGGUGUUUGCAAGUGUUGUCUUUGAGAGCUUUUUGGCUUUUGAACUCCGUGAAAAUGAGCUAAAUAAGUGAGUGGGUUUUGUUUUAUUGUGAUCUCUCAUAUAUCUGAUGUUAUUUCGCAGAUUAUGAGAAUUUCUAUCCGAAGGGGAGGAAGGAAGUUCCAAAAGGAGAUAAACAAAAAUCAGAGUCCAAAGGUAGAUUUUUUUUUCUCCAUGGUACAAAUUUCUAUGUGUGCAUUGAAAUCUUUGUUUUGGUCUGCCUUUUUGUCUUAUACCCUUUUCAUUGAAUUGAUUUGUCUAUUGGUUUCAUUCCGAUAAUCAGGUAUAUAAAAUUUCACAUUUGGGGUGACCAUUCACUGUCGAUCUUUGCUACAUCAUUUGUUGUUUGAUGAACAAUCGCCUGGCACUUAACUAGAGUAUGUGGUCAUGCUGGAUUGUUUACAUAUAAGCCACAUUCUGUAGUUUCAAGUUGGGCUUUCUGUCUGUUGCAACAUUGGAUUUGUUUCUUUAUAUCCUAUACGUAUGUCUUAUGUGAAGUUUUUGUCUCGCUUGGGAGGGUGUUGAUGUGAAAGUUUAGGGGAUUAGUUCUAGCUUCUCAGGACUUAACAAACUGUCUAAUGAGCAUGCUAAAGACAUAAUGUUGGUGGCUGCUUGCCUUCUAGGAGGUGUUCUCCUAGACCAUUAUUUUAGUUGGACAAUUCCUUUCCUGCUUGUACCCUUAAGCACUGUUAUGGGAAAGUACCUAUAUCAUGGGUAGAGACUGAGGCCCUUUUGGCUAAAUUGGUUGAGAUUGAGGAGUCGUUCUAAGAUGGACCCGAAGAAUGGUAACUUAAGUAAUUGCAGUAGGAUGAAAUUUGGUUGAGUGAAGAAAUGAGUUCGUUUAUGUAGGCAAUUUUCGAACCAGAUUGUUCUUUCUUGUCUGGAAUAGGAAAUGCAUGUUUGUUAUUUGCCCCUCAGUUGGUAUUCCUUACAAUACUAACAUUCACUUGAGUUUAGAUGCAAAGAUGGUUAUAUGGAUCGCAAAAUGAAUUAUAUGCACACUUCCACGCACUGCAUUGUAGUUCUUUCCAGCUUUCCACUCAAAUAAAUCUAUGUAAGGCAGUUCCCUUAAAGUUUUUACCCAAUUUUCAGGGGAUUCGAACACAGAUGAUAAUCAGGAGACUUUCAUGAAACAGUUCCAGAAUUUGAUCACGCCCUUGGUCGUGAUUGGACUGUUCCUUUCCUCCUUUUCCUUUGGUCCUCGUGAACAACAGCAGGUAGAUCUGCUAAUGAGCUUGCUGAUUUAUUUUUAUUUUUAUUUUUAUUUUUAUUUGCCAUAAUGUGCAUGCUUAGGUUCUUCUUCUUCUUCUUUUUUCCCAUGUUCAUAUUAUGCUGGUUGAACUGUGAUCUUUUUCUGAUUGGGGACAUGUAUGCGAUCUCCUCGUUACAGCAGUGCAAUCACGAUUGAGUCAUCUACAGACCAGAGAUUUAGCCUGUUUUCUUAUUCUUGUGUUUGUUGAAAAUUUAAAUUGCAGAUUAGCUUUCAAGAGUUCAAAAACAAGCUUCUGGAACCAGGCUUGGUGGACCAUAUAGUUGUUUCUAACAAAUCUGUAGCAAAAUUGUUUGUAAGAAAUUCACCAUCAAGUCAAACAAUUGAUGAGGUCAGUGAAGGACCCAAGAGUGGCAAUGGCAAUGUUGCAAGAGGGCAUGGAGGUCAGUAUAAGUACUACUUCAAUAUUGGAAGUGUUGAAUCUUUUGAAGAGAAAUUGGAGGAAGCCCAAGAAGCAUUAGGCGUUGACCCCCAUGAUUACGUUCCUGUCACUUAUGUCUCUGAGAUGCUCUGGUACCAAGAGAUAUUGAGAUUUGCACCGACUCUCCUGCUUUUGGGAUCACUCUUGUACAUGGGGCGGAGAAUGCAAGGCAGCCUUGGUGUUGGUGGCGGUAGUGGGAGGGGUGGGAGGGGUAUAUUUAACAUCGGAAAGGCUCAUGUUACUAAAGUGGAUAAAAAUGCCAAGAACAAGGUCAGUUUUAAAUGACAUAGUCGCCUUGCUUUCAUGCUGUAUCCUUUUCCUCUUUCUCCAUUUUGUUGUGGAAGGUUAAAGAUGUUUAAACCAGAAAAUAUGCGUCCUGUUUCAAUUCUGACUAGGUAUUCUUUAAAGAUGUUGCCGGCUGUGAUGAAGCUAAGCAAGAAAUUAUGGAGUUUGUACAUUUUCUCAAGAAUCCGAAGAAAUAUGAAGAAUUGGGAGCAAAGAUUCCAAAAGGCGCCCUUCUUGUUGGUCCCCCAGGUACAGGGAAGACUCUUUUAGCGAAAGCAACUGCUGGAGAGUCUGGUGUGCCAUUCCUAUCUAUGGCAGGUUCCGAUUUCAUGGAGAUGUUUGUUGGUGUUGGGCCUUCAAGAGUGAGAAACUUAUUUCAUGAAGCAAGACAGUGUGCUCCUAGCAUAAUAUUUAUUGAUGAAAUUGAUGCAAUUGGUCGAGCAAGAGGACGUGGAGGUUUUUCAGGUGGCAAUGAUGAGCGUGAGAGCACACUCAACCAGUUGCUCGUAGAAAUGGAUGGCUUUGGUACCACCUCAGGGAUAGUCGUGCUUGCUGGCACUAAUAGGCCUGACAUCUUGGACAAAGCCUUGUUGAGGCCUGGUCGAUUCGAUAGGCAAAUCGCCAUUGAUAAACCUGAUAUCAAAGGCCGUGAACAAAUAUUCCAGAUAUACCUGAAAAAGAUAAAGCUUGAUCGUGAACCUUUGUAUUAUUCACAAAGGCUUGCAGCCCUUACACCUGGAUUUGCUGGAGCGGACAUAGCUAAUGUUUGUAAUGAAGCUGCUCUCAUUGCUGCCAGGAAUGAGUCAACUAAGGUCACCAUGGAACAUUUUGAGGCAGCUAUAGAUAGGAUUAUAGGUGGUUUGGAGAAGAAGAACUUGGUAACGUAGCUUCUCUCUUUUCCACUCCAUCAUGCCGGUUCUUGGUCUCUUCUUAUUUUUUCUAUUUCAGCAACACUGUUCUCUUGCACACGUGUUUUUUGUUUCUAGGAGCCUCUCUCACAAUGACCCAACUAAGAAUUCCAUAUUGUCUUUGGCUGGCUUGCUAUGCUGACUGCUUAUUGAAUGGAAACCAUCAUAGCUUGUCUUCACUGAUGAUUGAGAUGGGUGUGUUAUUAGGUUGUUCCAACUGAUGCUUUUUGGUCUUAGCAUUUUCGUAUUCUUUUUACUCAUCUUCUCACGUGGUCAUUGGUUGAAAGUAAUCCUAGAAAAUUAUUUUGAUAAGCGUCACCAAACAGUGAGCUUGUGCUUCAGUUAUUGAUGCUUGUCUUCACACACGAUUUUUGUGCUGUUCAUGAUUUUAGUAUCACCAACAGUGAGAAUGUCUUUCUCUUGGCAAAUUCUUUGAUCCUUGAUCUUAUGGGUUUAGUUGCUUUUGGCACGGAUUGAUGUAAAUAUGAUUUCAAAUAUUGACUUUGUGAUUUGGACAUGUAUAAAAGUAGAUAAAUCAAUCUAAACUUUGGUUUUCGAGCAGGUAAUAAGCAAACUAGAACGUCGGACAGUUGCAUAUCAUGAGUCAGGUCAUGCUGUGGCUGGUUGGUUCUUGGAGCAUACAGAGCCUUUACUGAAAGUGACAAUAGUCCCUCGCGGCACGGCUAAUCUAGGAUUUGCCCAAUAUGUGCCUAAUGAGGAUCUUCUCGUGACCAAGGAACAGCUUUUCGACAGGACAUGUAUGGCCCUUGGCGGACGAGCAGCUGAACAGGUGAUUUAUGGGCCUUCAUAUUUGUUCUUCACUUUAUGGAUAGCAGAAAUGCAUUAAAUUUUUUCUUUCCAUCUUUGCCCGUUGAAUUGACGAAGAUCAACGAGGCAAAUAUGUUCUUGUAAGGUUCUAAUCUUUAAACCUCGAUGCUGUUGAGUUGAAUAUUCAUGUAAUUUGCAGGUUUUGUUGGGUAAAAUAACAACGGGAGCUCGAAGUGACUUGGAGGGGGUGACGAAAGCAACAUAUGCCCAGGUAGCAGUAUAUGGCUUCAGCGACAAGGUGGGACUCCUCUCCUUUCCUCAGGGAUAUGAGAUGACCAAGCCCUACAGCAGCAAGACUGCAGCAAUUAUUGAUAGUGAGGUGCGUGAGUGGGUAACCAAGGCAUAUGAGCAUACAUUGGAGCUAAUAACGGAGCACAAAGAGCAUGUUGCUCAGAUUGCUGAGCUGUUGCUCGAAAAGGAAGUUCUUCAUCAUGAAGAUUUGCUCCGUGUUUUAGGCGAGCGACCAUUUAAAUCGAGUGAGGUGACCAAUUAUGACAGAUAUAAGCUAGGGUUUCUAGAGGAAGAGAAGAGUGCAGAGACUUCAGAGACUGAUGUAGUGGAGGAUGACGAAUCGCCUCCUCCUUUGGAUCCACAGGUAGUCCCAACUUAGUUCUCAGGAAUUCCCGCUGAGACUAUUUUUGUAAAUGAUUUGGAUCGUUUCCCGAAGUCUUUGCUGGAGCAAAAAGAGAAAAUAAAGCUGGACAUUGCAUUGCAGCGUUCUAUAUUUAUCUUCUGAAAUAAUUCUGAAAGAAAUCUGGGAUUGCAUUUCCAUAUUGUUGCGGUAUUGAAUUCUUUCAUCGUCUUUACAUGCCACUAGACCUGUUAAACGGGUGGGUCGGGUCGGGUUUGGGUCGGGUCAUAAAUGGUCCGACCCAAAGCGAUCCAUUUAACCCGUUUAUAACCCAUUUAUUGCAGUGCAAAUUUUUUGACCCAUACCCGACCCGACCCAUACCCAACUCAUACCCGACUCUUUUAACAAAACAUAAAAAAGCUUUUAUAUAUAUAUAUAUAUAUAUAUAUAUAUAUAUAUAUAUAUAUAUAUAUUAAAAUGGUAUUGCUAACAUGAUUUUAUACAAUAUAAAUUUAAAAAAUAAUUAUUUAAAAAAUCGAAUUUUAAUUAUUUUUUAUUUAAAAAAAAUUAAAUUUAAAAUUUUUUUAUUUUAAAAAAAUUAAAAUUUUAAUUAUUUUUAAUUAUCUUUUUCUUUUUUCUUUUUUCUUCUUCCUCUUCUUUGGCGGGCCGCCGGCCACAACGUCGGCCGGCGACCGGCCACAGGCGAGCUGGCUCGCCCAGCUCGCUGACGCCGGCGAGCUCGAGCUCGCCCCUUGCCGGAUCUGGCGAGGUUGGAGCCUCGCCCGACGCCGACGAGUUCGAGUCUCGCCCGAUCGGCGAGGCUCGGGCCUCAGCGAACGUCGGCGAGGCCUCCGCCUCGCCAGAUCGGCGAGCUCGAGCCUUGCCGGACGUCGGCGAGGCCUUCGCCUCGCCAGAUCUGGCGAGCUCGAGGCUCGUCGGCGUCGAGCAAGCUCGAGCUCGCCCCUCGCCAGAUCUGGCGAGGCUCGGGCCUCAGCGGACGUCGGCGAGGCCUCCGCCUCGCCAGAUCGGCGAGCUCGCCCCUCGCCAGAUCAGCGAGGCCUCCGCCUGGCCAAAUCCGGCGAGCUCGAGCUCGCCCGACGCCGGCAAGCUCGAGGCUCGCCUGGCCGGUCGCCGGCCAUCGCCGUGCCAACAACCGGAGUUAGAAGAAAGAAAAAAAAAAAAAAAGGAAAGAAAAAAUAAUUAUAAUUUUGAUUUUUAUAAAAAAAAUUGUAAAAUUAAAGAGAAGAGAGAGAGAUAAUGAGGUUUUGAGUGAAAAAUGGGUUGAUAAAUGGGUUAGAGGGCUGACCCGUUUAAAACCCAUAUAUCUUAGUGUUUACCCAUUAAAAUUUAUUAUGGGUGCUUUAUAAGAUAAAGCUUGACCCAUUAAUGACCCAUUUAACCAUAAAUGGGUCCAUAAUAAAUGGGUCCAUAAAUGGGUUGUGCAACCAACAACCCAUUUAACACCUCUACAUGCCACCAAGCGCAUUGUCAUCUCACGUGGAAUUCAGUUCUACGAAUCAAGUACACGUGGCAUGGACAGAGGAGGCAAAUAUGAGUUUAUCUUCAUGAGAAGUGGGUACUUCAUGAUGGUUUCAGGGAAAGGCGAGAUCUCGCACGUGUAAUUACCAAUUCAUUCUUUUUGAUAACAGAUGCUGAUGGCGUCCCCUUCUUCAUUUGGUCGUGACGAUCCUUGAUGUGGUUGUUCAGGUUGCAUGAUGUGGCCUUCUCUGACAUUUUCGCUCAGGUGAGAGAAGGGAAAGGGACAUUUUGUCCCACGCUCUGUAGCGCACCCUAUUUUCAUCUUCUGCCUCAACAAAAGCUUUCUGAGAAACUUGAGAUUGCAUUUAGUCGGUGUGUCCCUGGCCGAUUUCCGACCCAGUAAAAAUUGACUAAGAAGGAAAGCGAUAAAAUGAUCCUUCAACCUCCCCCCACCUUUCCAUGAAAGGGCUCGAAGAAAGAGUCCAUCACAGGCGUGGUAUACGUCAUGGCGGACGCCUAAUCGCAGCGGCGAUAGAAAAAUCGAAUGUAAUUGCACUUUUGUGUCGUUGCACGUUGCGAAGCCCACGCUAAUUUUUUAAGCAGGAGAAAAUUACCGGCGCAUGCUCAAGUACAUGCAAUGAUUUCGCUUGUCGUAAGGUUCAAGUAUUUAUUCACAAAUUAAAAAAAAAUAACUAAAUAAAAAAUUCAGAAGCAAGCAAAGCCGGCAGUCUCUUCGGUCGGGCCCCGAGAGUCAACUAAUUCUCAGAUAUACAUUGACACUGAAGAAAGAAACCUAGUUUGAUGCGCAUAUUCAGAUCGAAGGUUAUCCGCAUCCCACUGGUCGAACUAUAUUAAACUCGUUCCUCCAUUACCCACCUAAAUAUCCCUCGCUGCGUUCGUAAUGACUUGCGUAUGUGAAGAUGUAGGUGGCAUGCAGAUUGUCAACUAAUCUUUCCCUUCGUGUGAUAAUACAACUCAGAAUUGAAUAAAGGGUAUUUGGUGAGUAUCCCCGUGAGGAAAUGCAAUCAUAUUUGAAAAUGCCUAAAAAAACUUUCUAAUCCUUUUUUUUUGUGUGUGGUUGCUUGAUAUAUUUUAUAAAGGUGAUUGUUAAUAAGAUUAAUUACUACAAAAGAUCCCAAGUUAAAAAACCUCAAGUUGGUAUAUCUAUGAUAAAUUUUCUCGAAAUUAAUUUUUUGACCUCAAGAAACUUUAAACUAACACAUUUAUGAUAAAUUUACCUUUUGUUAGUUUGGUUGCAAGAUCGAACAAUCCAAUAAUAAAUUAGAUAAAAUAAGAAAAUAGAUUUACGUAGUCUAUAAAGAGAACAACGACAAAUUUCACUAUAAUUCAUGUGAUAUAACAUAGAUUAUAACUACAUUUGAAUCACUUAAACACUCUUGGUGUUUCCUAAGCUCCAAUGACAUCAAAUAACGCAUGUAGUGUUUUACCCCAUAACUCCUUACUAAGUAAUCUCUUAAUCUCUCCGACCAAAAAAAAAAAAAAUCUCUUAAUCUCACGAAAAUCAAAUACUUAUUAUAAGAAUUUAAUUAGCUAUAAACACUUGUAUUCUUCUUUGAUUCCAUGCAUGAAGGAUGAUGCCGAGGAUAUAAUUAUCACGAAUUUCCCUCUAUCAAGCCACGAGUUUACCCCAUAAUUCCUUACUAGGUAAUCUCUUAAUCUCACGAAAGAAUUAUAUACAAAUUCUUAUUAUAAGAAUUUAAUUAGCUAUAAACACUUGUAUUCUUCUUCGAUUCCAUGCAUGAAGGAUGAUGCCCAGGAUAUAAUUAUCACAAAUAGGGGUGAUCGGGGGAAAAUUACCAAAAAAGUCCUAAACCUAUUGUAAUUGUGCCAAUUCAGUCCUAAUUUUUUUUUUUUGGCCAAUUUAGUCUUAAACCUUUUACAAUUGUGCCAAUUCGGUCCAUCCGACCAAAAUUGGCCAGUUAGAGCUAACAUAGACCGGCAAAUGCUAACGUGACAUUUUUAAUUUUUUUUAUUUUUAUUUUCAAAUUUUUAAUUUUUUUUUUGGAAUUUUUUAAUUCUUUUUUUUUCCAUCAUCUUGUUCGCCUCCUGGCUGGCUGGCACCGGUUGGAGGCGAGGGCCAGCGAGGUCAGCCUCGCCGGCCAUUGGCGAGGGUGAGGCCCCGCCAAAUCCGGCGAGCUUGGCCCUCACCAGAUCCGGUAGGGCCUUGCCCAGCCAAGGCAAGGGUCGACCUCGCCAGUGGCCGGCGAGGCGACCUCCUCAACAGGAGGAUCUAUGGGUGGCUAUCCCUCUCUCUCUCUCUCGUUUGAAGUUGUGAGCGCUCGCUUGGAACCAUUCUCUCUCUCCACCUCAAUCCAUGCCUUGCGAUUGCGCCUUCGGAGUGCGAGCAAGCUCGCGGCUUCUGAUUGCCGCUGCAUUGUGGACGGCGGGUGAGGAGCCUCGCCAGCCACUGGCGAGGUUGACCCCUCGCCUUGACUGGGCGAGGCCCUGCCGGAUCUGGCGGGGCCUUGCCCUCGCUGGCCCUUGCCUUCGGCUGGCGGGGGCGAGCCUCGCCAUUGGCCGGCGAGGCUGACCUCGCUGGCCCUCGCCUUCGGCCGGCUAGGAGGCGAAGAAGAUGAUGGAAAAAAAAGAAUUAAAAAAUUCCAAAAAAAUAUUUAAAAAUGCCAUGUUAGCAUUCGCCGGUCCACGUCAGCGUCGGCCGGCCAAUUUUAGCCAGAUGGACUGAAUUGACACAAUCGUAAAAGGUUUAGGACUAAAUUGGCAAAAAAAAAAAGUUUAAGACUGAAUUGGCACAAUUGCAAUAGGUUUAGGACUUUUUUGGUAAUUCUCCUGGUGAUCGGGUCCAGGGUGGGUAAGGUCUAGACCUGGACCCUAUUCCCGACCCUAUUAUAACCGGUUCUCUUUUUUUGGACCCUGUUCCCUACCCUGUUUGCAUUGGACCCUGUUCUCGACCCACCCUGUUUUUCUGGUCUGGGAACGAGGUUGACCCUGUUUAUAUUGGAACCUAUGUUGCAAAAUUUUUCUGAACGUGCACAUUUCACAUCUUGCUAGUAAACUGCAAUAAGCAAACUUCGCCAGCUGUAUCAAGUUUAAUAGAUGGCUCAAGAAAGGAUUUUAGUUCGCUCAUAACUAGUAAAGAUCGAGAAAGACUUCAAAGACCUACGAUUUGAUUUUCCCUUUCCGUUUUGCUCCGCAUACAAUCUAACUUUCCUUGAAGAAGUAAAGGACGAAAUACACAAAGGAAAACUCCAAAAUUUUACUCAACCUAAUGCUAUACAAGGAACUCUAUUCUUCACUUCUCGAUCAUCUAAAUUGAUCCCAUCUUCAAUCUCAGUGCUUAGCAUCAUCACUUCAUGAUCUUGGAGUCUAUGCUGAAGCCAUUUACACGCAGGCAUGUACUCAGUAGCUAUUACUGACGUAUCAAUUGAGCUAACUCCAUUAUAAACCAUGAAUCUCUGUCUUAACAUCUCAUCCUGCAGCCAAACCGUGACAAGAUUUCAAAGGUAUAAAUUUUGCAUGGCCAGAAAAAUAAUGGCUAAAAAUUCAUCCAACAUACUUUCUAUUAUCUUUGUCACGAACAAGAAUUACAAGCUUCACAUAAUACUCCCUGUGGAAAAACAAAAAGCCUGCAUUUCGUUGAUAACUCAUUUCGAUCAAGGAGUUUGUACACGAAUAUGAAUCGGCGAUUCACUUUUAGAUCAUCACAACAACAUUGGAGAAAGCUUAAAUCCUUAAUAGAACCUCAAUCGUGGUCGAUUUUCACACAAAUAGUAACAAUUUUACCUUGAUGAUGUGCGAUUGUAGCCACGAUCAGUUGUUGAACUUACAAAAAGGAGUCCCGGGUGUGUUGCCUAUGAUGAUCGGACCUGACAAAGGAGGAUUAAGUGAGUGCAAGGCACUUCAAGAUCUCUGAACAAAAAAUAGAGCAGAAUAGGGAGAUGCGAUCAGUGAAGCUCGGGAGGAGUGGCUUUGAUGGGUCGCGACUUCGGCAUCUUUUUGUCAAUACUUCAUUUCAUCUCUCUGACCUGGCUGAGCUCAAAGCGACCAGAGGUGGAGGCGCCUCGGUUGACGGAGAUUCGAAUGUUUGCGGCGGCCGAAGAUUGGACUGGAGUCGACGUCGUAGGUUCAAUCGAGAGUAUACAGAAGAGUAUUCUCAUUCUUGGAGUCUUGAUGCUUCAGUGAAGAAAGGUCUGAGAGGGAGCAAAAAUCUCUCUUUUGCUCCACUUCCUCUUCGGCGAAUAGCACUGGUAGUGGUGGUGAUAGACCUGAAGCGUGGGGGGUCUAGCGGAUCAAUAUCUUCUUAAAAUACCAGAACAAAUCAAAAGAGCAAACACGACGGCACCGGCGCGGGGGUAAGUAGAACUAAUUAAUCGGCAGCUCAUGACAAAGAGUAAAAAUUGUGCUUACCAGCGACGGCCCUGGCGCGGGGGACAAGGACUUGCCGAACAGCUCGGCGGGGAGGAGGAUGUUGUCGACAGUGAAGGUCGCGACGGGGGUGGACUUGAGCACCAUGCUGGCCACCCGUGAGGAGUCGACCCUGAUGUCGAGACGAGGAGGCCCGCAAACCUCUUGCACCUAGCCUUCUUGAGCAGCGAGGUCGACAGCGCCGGGGUGGCGAGGAUGGCCGGGACCAAGAUGGGGGCACUGAUAUGGAGGAAGGCGAUGCUGCUUCUGCUCGGAUGGAUUGGUGGAGGUGAGACCGUGAGAGGCUGAGAGCGACGAGCGUGCUGCGUGAGAGUAAAGAUAGAAAGUUAGAAACAACUAGGGUUUUGUUUUGGGCCCCAAAAACCGGUUCAGUCAAUCUGGUUCCCGGGUGGAUAUUCCCUCGGAACCAGUUCUCGGACCGGUUCAAACAGGGUCUGAACUUUGGGAACCGAUUCCCGGCCUUGUUUUCCGGGUGGGCCGAACCGGAAACCGGGUUGACCCGAUCUGGUUGCACACCCCUAAUCACGGAUUUCCCUCUAUCAAGCCACGGGUAACACUGACGCACAUCAACAAUAGCCAUUUUAGGAGCCCACGAUAGAAUAUAUUUAUAGAUGCCCAAGGGUUGACCGAGUCAAAAUCCAACUCAAAGUCCAAGGUUGACUUUUCAAAUUUAACCAUUAUCUCCCGCGUUGGACUUCCCUUUUGAAGUUGUGAAGUCCAUGAAAAAUGACCACCAAGAAGGAAAUUACAUUGCCAAAAGAUAUUCACAAUUCGGUCCAAUUCCAAAUAUAUCGAUCUUUUCAACUUCGGUGGUGGCUGAAAACUCCAACACAUACUCGGAAACCAAAUUUCCAAGACUUGAUCUCUCAUUAAUUUAAUUUUCAAACUUCAAAUUUUUUGCUUUAGACUCAAAUUCAAGAUAUAUUUUAACAAUCUCCACUUUGGCUCGAUGUUUGAGCCAAGUCACAAUUAUUUCACUAAAAAUUCAAACUUUGCUGUUAUUUUCCUAUAACCCCGUGGAUUCAACUGCCACAUAUAUUUUCUAAAUCCAAACCCACUUGAAUUUCACCAAAAUCGAGGACCUCAUUAGAAUAUCAAUUUCACAUGCACAUUUGACUACUCUAUAAGGAUCUUUUGACACAACCUCAUCUACCACAGGUAAAGCAAAACCAUUGUUGUAUCCAUACCUAUUAAGAGAUUGAACACGUAACCUACAACAACUGUUCCCUCUACAAACUCUAUUUUGCCAUGAACACUAUUUAUGUCAAUUACUCCGUUAGUACUAGCUACCUCAAGAGUUUCUAGUUGCAACUCCACUGUUCAAAUUUGCAUAAACAUUGUUAAUAACACUCCCCCUCAAAAUUACUAUAGACUCAUUAAAUGUAAUUUCUCUAUUGAUAACAUGUGAAUUUAAUUCCGAAAAUCAUAACUUAUAGUUCCGCUUACCUUGUGCAUAACUCUGGAACAUGCACUUUAUUAGCCUUCCAUCGAGCUUCUCAUCACUAAAUCAAAUAUAAAAUGAACAAGCAAGUAUUCUAGGAAUAGAAUAAUCAACAUCGUUGCCUAACCACACUUUUUUAGGAGUCUAACAUCUAAUUGCAGUUGAUGCUGAUCUAUUUAUUAGGUAGCUUGCCCAUCUAACCACAUCUAUCAUGAAUCUUCUACUUUUACCAGUACUAGAGAGUAUUUUAUGUGUUGUCUCUAAUAACGUUUUGCUUAUUAAUUCCGUAACAUGUCGUGGUUAAUUGGCAUUAAUACGAUAUUUCACUAUACCUUCCUUAACACAGAAUUCCUAUAAUAAUUUCAAACAAAACUUCAUGCUACUAUCAGUUUGCAUAUGCUUGAUCAUUUUAAUAGUCUUAUUUUUUUUUUUUUUAUCAUAACUCUCAACUGCUUUAUCCUGACAACAAUAUCAAAUUUGUGCCUAAGCAUAAAUACUCACGUCUUCCUUUAGUAAUCAUCUACAAUUUUCAGCAUAAAUCUAGCACUCUUCACUGUGAUAAUCUGCGAAUAUUCAAGUGAAUUAACUUUGCAAUUUCCAUGGAUUCUUUGAUUGUUGUACUGAAUUGCACUUUCCGUCGUAGAUUUAAAUCAUAACACAUGUAUAAAUUCAAUUCAUUAGCAACAUAACCACAUAGCAAAUUUAUUUCACUUAAAACCUUUAGGCUUCUCUCAUUAAAGUGCCCAAAGCACAUAUGCUACAACUUAGAUUCUAGAAUAGAUGCAUCUAAUGUCCUUGCAGUGAAAUCCAUCACCAUUUUACCUUAAAGUUCAUACAUGCCAUUGCACUUGAAUCAUCUCAUUAUUACCAAAAUAUCUUGAACAAUUUUCAGAAUUCCACAUUCUAAAAUGUAACAACACCCAGCUGAAUCUAGGGCUCUCAAGGAAAUUGGGUUUUUCCUCAACUUUGAAAUACAUACUACUCCAUUCAAUAUUCUUACAAUACCAUCAUGCAUUAUGAUUCUAAUAUUGCCAACAUCUACAAGAUUGCACUCUACGUUGUUCCCCAAUUUGACUUUACCAUUAUUAUUAUUAUUAUUAUUAUUAUUUUGGUAAGGGUAAGAAUGAAUAAAUAACUUUAACCACAAUACAAAAGAACAACGCCAAAAACAACCACUCAUAGUGACAACAAGUCAUAAUGAAUGGAAGGGAGCCGAUGUAAAAGAAAGAAGCCCAAAGGAAAGGAGAGCAAACAAACUAUCAAAAAAGAGCCAAGUCAAGAGACAAGUAAGAAAGCUUGAAGGCACUCUAAGCAGGAGGAUCGAAAAUAGAAACAUCAAGACCCCAACAACGCUAAAGCCUCCUAUUCCUUGGGUGAUCCACUACAUUGCCGUAGGUAAGAGUCCUGUCCUUAACCACUUUGAUGAGAUGGUUCUUCAAAGUCGGCAGCUCCAAGGACUCCCCCUGAAAGAUGAUGCUGUUGCGCUUCUUCCAAAUCAAGUGACACAUGGCACCAAAAGAAAAACGGGCAAUACAAUGAAUAAAGUCCUUGCCGGGAAGGAAUUUCAGUGCCCAAAGAAGAUUCUCCGACCAGGACCUGUUUCUUCAUGGAAGAUUACAUCUCACGGCCAAAAAAAAAAAAAAAACGAGACUAGCCGAGACAUGGCAAUCAAAGAACAAGUGAUCAAUAGAAUCCGGUCUGAGGUUGCAAAAAGCACAAACUCCACUACUAAUCCUACCAUAUGAAAGAAGAAGAACCUAAGUGGGUAAGCGAUUGCGAAUAAUAAGCCAAAGAAUGAAUUGGAAUCUCGGAGCAAUUGAAUCAUUCUAGAUGAGUGAAGCCCAAGGAACAUGAUCCUUCUUCCUCCUAAUAUUAUUCCAAGCUAAGGUGACCGUGAAGACACCCGCAGAGCUUCCAUGCCAGGUAAACCUAUCCGGUACUCGAGAGAGGGCUGGAAGUGAGAAAUCCCCAUAUUCCAAGAUAGUCCUGAGCGCACCACCAUAGGGGAGAAAUAGAUCAGCAAGUGUCGUUUGUUUGGAGAAGCCUGAACUAUCCAUGAGGGAGUCCAAUAAAAAUAGGCUUAAAGGACCUUUCGGGUGCCAAUGGUCAAAUCAUAAAGACACGGAACAUCCAUCGCCAACUUUCCAAAGGAAUGAUAACCGAAACUCCUACCUUAGUUGCAGGAUCUUCUUCCAUGCCCAGGAGCACACAGUCGGAGUAUGUGAAACCCAGAAAUUCUCCUUUAAAAAGGUCGCGUGGAUCCAUUUACAUCAUAAUGACUCAUUGUCUGUAAAAAGAAUCCAUAUAUACUUGAGCAUCGCAACUUUGUUGCAAUCACACAACUUGCGAAUACCCAAUCCUCCUUCAAUCUUAGGGAGACAAACUUCAUCUUAAGCAACUUUUGCCCCACCAGGGCCAAGAUUAGGACAUUUCCAAAGAAAUUGCCUCAAAAUUUGUUCUAUACGAUCAAGCACCGAGCAUGGAAAAAUAAAAACACUAGCCCAAUAACUCUGGAUAGAGUGAAUGACUGACCUUAUCAAUUGAAGUCUGGUAGCAAAAGAGAGAAACCGCUGGGCCCAAGAAUGGACCCUGGCCGUGAUGCGAUCAACAAGCAAAAUACAGUCCGACUUGGCAAGCCUAGAAGUGAUGAUCGGAACCCCUAGAUACCUCACUGGUAGUUUAACUUCCUGGAAACCAAGGGCCAAGAGGAUAUAAUUCCAAAGAGUAGGGGAUCACCUGCAAGGAAGACUUCGCUUUUACUUGUGUGCGGUAGCAAACCACUCCAGGAAGAGAAAAUGUUGAGGCAUCUUUUGAGUAGGGAAACUGAUGCCCAGUUAGCCUGACGUAAUAAGAAUACAUCAUCUGCGAAAAAUAGGUGGGAGAACUUUAAGGCUUUGCAUCUCCAAUAAUACUUAAAGUCCGGGUGUGAAGUGCGAGAGUUGAGGAUCCUAGAGAAAACCUCCAUCACCAAUGUAAAAAGAUAAUGAGACAUAGGAUCGCCCUGUCGAAGGCCCCGGCCACCGGAAAAGAAACCAUGUAACUCCCCAUUGAUGGAGAUGGAGUACUUAGGCGUCCGUACACAAACCAUAAUGAGUUGGGUCAUCCAGGAUGGAAAGCCAAAAGCUAAUAAGGUUAAUUCAAGAAAAUCCCAAUCAAUCGUAUCAUAUGCUUUUUGGAAAUCUACCUUAAUCGCACACUUAGGCAAAUAAGGGUCCACAUGGAAUCUUGCAAAAAGCUCUUGAGCCAAGAGGAUAUUAUCAUUAAUCAUCCUUCCAUUGACAAAAGCAUUUUGGGAAGGGCUAAUCAAAUCCCGAAGCACGACGGCUAAUCGGUUGGCAAGAAUCUUGGUGAUGACUUUAUAUAAAGUAUUAUAGCAAGCAAUGGGCCUAAAGUCCGAGACAACACAAGCAUUAGGGACCUUGGGCGCCAAAGCAAGGAUAGUGUUGUUCACCUCACGUAAAAGCUUGCCUGAAGAAAAUAAAUCUUUAACCACUUCUAGGAUCAACGGGCCUACAAUCUCCCAAGAACUCUUAAAGAUCUCCACAGUAAAACCAUCUAGGCCGGGGGGCCUUGCCUCUAGUGAGGGAAAAUAAAGUAUCAUGGAUCUCAAAAUCUAGCACAGGCCGAGAAAGAAUACUAACAUGUUCUUCUAAGAACGGACACCUAAUGAGCGCCUGCAGCUCCUGCAGCGACGGCUUCACAAGGACAGCCUGUGGUGUAAGAAGAUCAGUGAAGUAGGAGACAAAAACUUGCUGCACCCUAUCCGGAUCCAUGACCAACAAGCUGGUUGAAUCCUUGACAGAGAGGAUUCUAUUUCGAAGCUAUCUUCGGUUAACCGAGUGAUGAAAAAAUUUAGUAUUUAUAUCACCUUCCUGAAGCCAACGAACCCUGGACUUUUGUCUAUAAAAAGACUCCUCUUAACUUCGCAAAUCAACGUAGCACCGACGCUGCUCUUUCUCUAGCUCAGCAAGAGCAAUACUGGUCGGGUCUAGUUGGAGGGCCUGCUGGGUAAGCUUCAAGGCAUUCCUUGCUUUAGCCGUUCUCACAGAUAUAUCGGAGAAUGACUCUCUAUUUUAAUUGCUUUAGACGGCCUUUGAGAGUUUUUAGCUUGCUGACAAGCUUGAACAUAAGAAAACCGGCCUUAGGGAAAUUCCAUACUUGCUUAACAAUAGAGUUGUAAUCUGGAUGUUUCAUUCAAAAGUCGAAGAACUUGAAAUGCUUUCUUGUAUGAACUAGGUGUAAAACUCUAACCACCGUUGGAGUGUGAUUAGAAAUACCCGGAAUCAUAAAAGAAGCUUCUGAGAAAGAGAAGUCACGUCUCCACUUUGAAUUCACCAAAACUCGGUCAAUUUUUCUUUGCUUCCGAUUCUCCCCUGUAGAGGUGGACCAAGUAAACCUAAGUCCAACAUACCUAAGAUCCUUGAGUUCCAUCUGAGCCAAGCAAUCAUUGAACUCAUCAAAAUAGGGAAUCCAAGUGUUCGAGCUACUCACAUGGUCCGACGGGUCUCUAAUGACAUUGAAGUCACCUGCCACCAGCUAGGUCGACUCCUGCAAUAAGUUAUCCUUCUAGACAAGAUCCGCCCAAAGGGGUUGGCGGCGCAAAAAAGUGUGCUCAUCAUAUAUCACAGACAUGCAGCAAACCACCCCAGACAAAAUAGAGGUCAGAUUACCAUGAAUAGCCUGAUCAUUCAAGGGUGAGACAUCAAUGCUAACAAGGGCAGGAUUCCAGCUAGCCCAUAUACUACCACGAGGAGCGAAAUCAUAAUUUGCAACCCAACUCCACCCCGAAAAAAGGUCCACAGAGAUGGACUGAACAAGGGGUUCCAGCACCUUAGUCUCCAAAAUACCAACAAAAUAUAGAUUAUUGGAAGCAACCAAACUUCUUAUCUCAACCCGCUUUAGGGGAUUCAUAAGUCCCUGAAUAUUCCAAAAUCCUAAUAACAUCAAAAAAGAACAAGGAGAGAAAGUUACCUCUUCUUGCUAUGCCCAUGCUGAUUAGAAAUCGAAGCAGGCAUGUUAGAGGGGGGGAGGAUCUUGGCACAACUCCAAAAGCUUGUCCUGGAUCAAUAGAGGCUUCCUUAGGUCAGGAGGGGCGACAAUGGGGCAAGGAGGCGGAACAUCUUCAUCCGAGGAGCUGUACUCCUCCUUCACCGAGCCACCAGCUCCUGCACUUGAAGCCGGACAGGCAGACGGAGCAUCAGGAGGGGCUGCCUUGCCCGCAACAGGAUAAGUGCGGCCACCGCCUUAUACUGGAGCGACCCCAGCACGCUGUGGCUUAACAAACGAAGAAGACUGGACCGAUUUCACACGAACAAGAUUUUGAGACUUAGCUGGCGGAGCAGAAGGGGCAGGCCUCGCUUAGAUGGGUUCCUUAAGCUUGGACUGGCCACCAACACCAACAAGGGCUACACCUAAAGAGGCCUCCUUAGGCACCUGGCCCUUUUCCUUCUUCCCUUUUACUUGUUUCUACUCUGAACCAACACCUGAAGGGGCCUGAGAAAUCGGAUUAGGAUGCGGAACAACCACAGGGUCAAUCGGCCCAAGCACAAGCAAUGCCUGCCUUCGUUCCUCAGUCGAGCUGCUAGCGAUAGGUCUGGUAGCUUGCUGAGGAAGAUCCAUCCUCCCACUCUUGUCUUGGUCCGAGCUGGCACUAGCAACAUGGGAAGCUUCCCUAUAAUUAUUGGGAAUCACAAAACAGAUGUGGGGAACAUAAGAAGGGGUUGCAUGAACAUCUCCAAUUGCAACUAGAAUAGAGGGUACAGGGCAAGUAUAGCCAAAGAUGCCACAUGAAGGACAAAUACUAGGUUUCCAUUCGUAUUCCACCUCAACAGAGCUUACCUCUCCUUGGUGAACCACCUUAAUAGCUUCACAGCAAGGUUGCUUCGCUGAUAUCUCAACACAGACACAUGCAAAUACCAGUAUACUCUUUUUCUCAGUUCUCAAGUCAACAUAUAACGGUUUUCCCACUACACUAGCCACUGCACUAAUCCCCUACGAAGACCAGAAAAUAGUGGGCAAAUUCUUCAAUUGAAUCCAAACAAGAACAACUUAAUGGUCAUCUUUCCUCAUAUCCAACAAAGGCUUCCCUCCAAUACCUUCCUUCGGAAAUCAGCAUCAAGGACUCAAAAGAAAAAGAAGCCCUACCUGUUAGCCAUCACUUCCAACACCUUAGGGCCCCAAGCAUUCUUAAUAGAAGACUCCACCAGCUUGAAAGGAAGUUUUCUUCCAACGAAAUAGCCGACAAGGCAUUCAAAGAACUUAGGAUCAGCAGCAUCCUUAAUAAUAUCAAUCAAUUCCAUAACCGGCUCAUUGUUGAUGACAGGAGGAGGAAUAAAUUCCAGAUUGAAGUCUUUAGUGGCAAGUUUAGCGACAAUGGCCCAGGAGCGGGCUUGAGGGGGUUUCGAAUCCCUCUUUUGCUAGCCUCUUUGCUGAAGCCCCUUCGAAGCAGACUUGGCUCUGCUCUUGUCCUAACGGCUAGCUGGAGCUUGCGGAGCCAAUCCAGCAUGAUCAGCUUGAGCUGGGGCUGCCAAAGGGGGGUUACCAUGGGAGCGAGACGAUGGGCUACGUCCCCUAGAAGUCCCAGCAUCUUGCUGUGUCAAACGGGGCUGAUAACCAGCAACAGGGGUGGAAGAGGCCAUACGUCAAACACCUGGCGUGCAGGCCAAAGACUAACUACAAAAUGCCCAUUAGAAGUAAAGGAACAUAUCUGGACAGACUUCAAGGAGACCAAACGGGACCUAGAAGAGCACAUGCUUAAAUAAGAACGGCCCACAACACAACUUAGUCGUUGCAGAGAAUUGAAAACGCAGGAACAAUUCCGCCCUUCCAAAACUGACGAGACCGGGGCUUGUGGAUCAAAGGGAGAGGGUCGGCUGAGCAGGAUGAUAGAGGGAGGUAAGGCGACCUACCCUACCACCGAAGAAGCCCAGAUGAUCAUCAAUGCCCAUCGCACAAAGCUCAAACUAGAAUCGCAGGAACAAACUCAAUAGCACGCCUAGGGCAGCUCAGAUCUUGAAAUGAAGAAGGAGUUUGAGGAAAUCCUUUAGUGGGGAUGUAGAGAAGGAUAAGAACGACCUCUCCUCCAAAAAUCAGCCCAAACGGAUGCCUCUAGCUCCAGGAACAAGCCAAACACCAAAACGUGAACAAUACCAAAUUCGCCUAGAAAGAGAGAGCCCGAUGAAGAGUAUCUGCGAGUGGUGAAAAUGGCAAAGCUUCCUUUACCAUUAUUUAUAUAUUGAUAAGUGCUAAAUUAGUUUCUAUCUAGUAUUGCAUGAGAAGAAUAACUAUAAUACAUAAUCUAUUCAUCAAAUGAUUAAUAAUCAGUGAUAGACAAGAUAAAGUUAUUACCAUCCAAAUCACAAUAGCUACAGUUGCAAGAUUAUCCACAGACUUAACUGCAAUUUCCUGACCCUUCUCGUUUUUCCUUCCAAGAUACCCUUUUUGGCACAGUUCCAAUAGACAACAUCACCGGUUCUAGAUUAAUUAUAUCUGUUCAUGUCUAUGCUAUUCUUGCUAACACAUGUAUCCAUCUUUCUUCUAUUUUCACCUACUAAAAUAAUAAGCCGCGUCGUCCCCGGUGCCCUAGCGAUGAUUUUCUCUAGGAUCGGCCGUUCGUUGUCGAGAUCUUCCCGCUCGAGGGUUCGUCGUCGUGCCUCGAUUUCUUCCCCUCUUUUCUUCUUCGUUCUUCCCGAGUCGAUUCGUUUAUUCCCUUUUCGAAUGUAUUAGAUUUUGUCUUCGCGUAUUGAUUGGUUUCGUUGUCCUCCGGUUGUAGAACGCAUUGUGCCGCGGCGGUGUACGAUCGGGCCCGUUGAAUGGCGCGUCAUUGGGAACGCCGCGCCUGGACGGUGCGCUGGGCGGAUUGGGUGGGAAGUUAGGGUUUGUCAGGGAAUACUUAGCUUCUGCCGGGGCCAUCAAGGGGUUCUCCGCUAAAUCUUAUUUAUCCGAUCUAAAUCGCGUUCUUGCUAAUCCCAGAGUCCACCGGUUUUUCUCCAGCGAAGCCCCGAAAAAGAAGAGUAAGUGCAUUCUACAGUCGAGAAGUUAUUGGUGUUUGCAAGUGUUGUCUUUGAGAGCCUUUUGGCUUUUGAACUCCGCGAAAAUUAGCUAAAUAAGUGAGUGGGUUUUAUUUCGCAGAUUAUGAGAACUACUAUCCGAAGGGAAGGAAGGAAGUUCCAAAAGGAAAUGAACAAAAAUCAGAGUCCAAAGGUAGAUCUUUUUUUUCUCCAUGGUACUAAAUUCUAUGUGUGCAUUGAAAUCUUUGUUUUGGUCCGCCUUUUUGUCUUAUACCCUUUCCAUUGAAUUGAUAUGUCGAGUGGUUUCAUUCUGAUAAUCAGUUAUAUAGAAUUUUACAUUUGAGGUGACCAUUCACUGUCGAUCUUUGCUGCAUCAUUUGUUGUUUGAUGAACAACAUUAACCAUCGACUUAUGUCCCAAAAGGGAUCAUUUCAAGACAUCCUAGCCCUCGUGGAGUCAUGGCACACAGCAGGUACAAAUCUUCCUUGGCUGAUAUUGGUUUUUAAGUGUGUCAAUCGGGCACACAUAGUUCCGCUCUGAUCCACUGGUCGACAAAUGCGAAAUCAAUGCAUUCUUUGACAUGUGUGGAAGCUGAGGAAUUUGUUCUACCGUUGGCUCGUAACCAGGGUGACAAAGAGCUAUAAAUCUUCCUCGAAAAAGAAGGUUUGAUCCUAUGUGGUCAUGCUGGAUUGUUUACAUAUAAGCCACAUUCUGUAGUUUCAAGUUGGUCUUUCUGUCUGGUGCAACAUCGGAUUUGUUUCUUUAUAUCCUAUACAUAUGUCUUGUGUGAAGUUUUUGUCUCACUUGGGAGGGUGUUGAUGUGAAAGUUUAGGGGAUUAGUUCUAGCUUCUCAGGACUUAACAAACUGUCUAAUGAGCGUGCUAAAGACAUAAUGUUGGUGGCUGCUCGUCUUCUAGGAGUUGUUCUCCUAGACCAUUAUUUUAGUUGGACAAUUCCCUUCCUGCUUGUACCCUUAAACACUGUUAUUGGAAAGUACCUAUAUCAUGGGUAGAGACUGAGGCCCUUUUGGCUAAAUUGGUUGAGAUUGAGGAGUCGUUCGAAGAUGGACCUGAAGAAUGGUAACUUCUUGUUGUAAUCUGUAAAUGAUCCGUGGAUGGAUGUAUUUCACAAUAGUAUUCUACGGAGUAGCUAGGAGACAUGGGAAGACUGUAUUAUUGAAUGAACAGAAGUAAUUGCAGUAGGAUGAAAUUUGGUUGAGUGAAGAAAUGAGUUCGUUUAUGUAGGCAAUUUUUCGAACCAGAUUGUUCCUUCUUAUCUGUAAUAGGAAUUGCAUGUUUGUUGUUUGCCCUUCAGUUGGUUUUCCUUACAAUGCUAACAUACACUCAAGUUUAGGUGCAAAGAUGGAUAUAUGGAUUGCAAAGUGAAUUACAUGCACACUUUCACGCACUGUGUUGUAGUUCUUUCCAGCUUUCCACUCAAAUAAAUCUAUGUAAGGCAGGUCCCUUAAAUUUUUUACCCAAUUUUCAGGGGAUUCGAACACAGACGAUAAUCAGGAGACUUUCAUGAAGCAGUUCCAGAAUUUGAUCACGCCCUUGGUCGUGAUUGGACUGUUCCUUUCCUCCUUUUCUUUUGGUCCUCGUGAACAACAGCAGGUAGAUCUGCUAAUGAGCUGGCUGAUUUAUUUUUAUUUAUAUUUCUUUUUUGCCAUAAUGAGCAUGCUUAGGUUCUUCUUCGUCUUUUUUUUUCCAUGUUCAUAUUAUGCUGGUUGGACUGUGAUCUUUUUCUGAUUGGGGCCACGUAUGCAAUCUCCUCAUUACAGCAGUGCAAUAACGAUUGAGUCAUCUACAGACCAGAGAUUUAGUCUGUUUUCUUAUUCUCGUGUUUGUUAAAAAUCUAAAUUGCAGAUUAGCUUUCAAGAGUUCAAAAACAAGCUUCUGGAACCAGGCUUGGUGGACCAUAUAGUUAUUUCUAACAAAUCUGUAGCAAAAGUGUUUGUAAGAAAUUCACCAUCAAGUCAAACAAUUAAUGAGGUCAGCGAUGGACCCAAGAGCGGCAAUGGCAAUGUUGCGAGAGGGCAUGGAGGUCAGUAUAAGUACUACUUCAAUAUCGGAAGUGUUGAAUCUUUUGAAGAGAAAUUGGAGGAAGCCCAAGAAGCAUUAGGUGUGGACCCCCACGAUUAUGUUCCUGUCACUUAUGUCUCUGAGAUGCUCUGGUACCAAGAGAUAUUGAGAUUUGCACCGACUCUCCUGCUUUUGGGAUCCCUUUUGUACAUGGGGCGGAGAAUGCAAGGCGGCCUCGGUGUUGGUGGCGGUAGUGGGAGGGGUGCUCGGGGUAUAUUUAACAUCGGAAAGGCUCAUGUUACUAAAGUGGAUAAAAAUGCCAAGAACAAGGUCAGUUUUAAAUGAAAUAGUCACCUUGCUUUCAUGCUGUAGCCUUUUCCUCUUUCUCCAUUUUGUUGUGGAGGGUUAAAGAUGUUUAAACCAGAAAAUUUGCAUUCUGUUUCAAUUCUGACUAGGUAUUCUUUAAAGACGUCGCCGGCUGUGAUGAAGCUAAGCAAGAAAUUAUGGAGUUUGUACAUUUUCUCAAUAAUCCGAAGAAAUAUGAAGAAUUGGGAGCAAAGAUUCCGAAAGGCGCCCUUCUUGUUGGUCCCCCAGGUACAGGGAAGACUCUUUUAGCGAAAGCAACUGCUGGAGAGUCUGGCGUGCCGUUCCUAUCUAUAUCAGGUUCCGAUUUUAUGGAGAUGUUUGUUGGUGUUGGGCCUUCGAGAGUGAGAAACUUAUUUCAAGAAGCAAGACAGUGUGCUCCUAGCAUAAUAUUUAUUGAUGAAAUUGAUGCAAUUGGUCGAGCGAGAGGACGUGGAGGUUUUUCAGGUGGCAAUGAUGAGCGUGAGAGCACACUCAACCAGUUGCUCGUAGAAAUGGACGGCUUUGGUACCACCUCAGGGGUAGUUGUGCUUGCUGGCACUAAUAGGCCUGACAUCUUGGACAAAGCCUUGUUGAGGCCUGGUCGAUUCGAUAGGCAAAUCUCCAUUGAUAAACCUGAUAUCAAAGGCCGUGAACAAAUAUUCCAGAUAUACCUGAAAAAGAUUAAGCUUGAUCAUGAACCUUUGUAUUAUUCACAAAGGCUUGCAGCCCUUACAC